This 159-nucleotide ribosomal RNA is filed under the name uncultured Rhizobium sp. RNAcentral describes it as "partial 16S ribosomal RNA". It matches the Rfam family "Bacterial small subunit ribosomal RNA", at positions 335 to 511 of the family's 1533-position model. Lineage: Bacteria; Pseudomonadati; Pseudomonadota; Alphaproteobacteria; Hyphomicrobiales; Rhizobiaceae. The record is from RNAcentral.
ACUCCUACGGGAGGCAGCAGUGGGGAAUAUUGGACAAUGGGCGCAAGCCUGAUCCAGCCAUGCCGCGUGAGUGAUGAAGGCCCUAGGGUUGUAAAGCUCUUUCACCGGAGAAGAUAAUGACGGUAUCCGGAGAAGAAGCCCCGGCUAACUUCGUGCCAG